Molecule: long non-coding RNA, 621 nt
Organism: Malania oleifera
Lineage: Eukaryota; Viridiplantae; Streptophyta; Magnoliopsida; Santalales; Ximeniaceae
Exons: 3
Source: RefSeq, a predicted model, not a curated record
GAUGCACCUGUUUCAGGGGGGAGUCCGCAUAUGACAGAUUUCGAAAUCACUUCCCAGGUGCUUAGGCAACGAGCGGGGGGCUGGGUGAAAGGUCUCUGAAGUGGAUACUACGCCCCAACAGCAUCAUCAUCCAUGGGUACGGCGACUCGUGCAGAUAUGGAACGACAGCGUCGACAGGCCGAGUGUGAUAAACAGGAGAUGGCUCGACAGAUGCAGAAGAUCGCUAUGGAGAACGCAGAACUAAGAUCAGACCUCUCCAUCAUUUGAGCCCAGAUGCAAGCUUUGAUAGAUAGGACCGCACGGUUAGAGGAAAGGAUGUGCCAAUCUGGACAAGAUGAUGUGGGAGGCUCCUCUAAUUGAUUAUAAGCUGCUCAGGUGGAACAAUUCAUGAAGUUUGAAGAUGCUUAAGUUUCCAUUUGUUAGACGAGGAGAAGAUAAGGCAGUGUAAUCAAUGGGGAAGGAGAGAAUGAAGUGGAAUUGGACUUGUGGGUUAAUGGCCACGCAGGUGGGACAAUUCAUAAAGUUUGAAGAGGCAUCCGAAACAUUUUCAAGACAUGGUGGGAUGACAACUGCAGGGGCAGUUCCUGUCCCUCAGUUGCCAAAAUUACAAGAAAAUGUGUG